RNAcentral lists this long non-coding RNA (7308 nucleotides) under Olea europaea (common olive). RNAcentral's name for it is "long non-coding RNA (OEUR_LNC008214)". The record is from RNAcentral. Lineage: Eukaryota; Viridiplantae; Streptophyta; Magnoliopsida; Lamiales; Oleaceae.
AUUACAGUCUGAAGCCUUCAACAACCGAAAAGGAGGAAACUAGGUGAACAAAAACUAAUCAAGUUAGGCGCCAAAGCUCUGAUACGAUGUUAAGAGCCGAAAUCUGCGAGAGAAAAUAGUUUAAUUUUCUGAAAACUCGUUUAUUCUUUUUGCCUCUUUUGUCCAAUAUGUGUGCGUGUGUGUAUACACAGAUUACAAUGAAACUAUAUAUUUUGCAAUUUCUAAGAAUCGGCUAUCAUUAACCGAAAGAUAAAUUCCAUAAUUAUCUAUAGUAACAGAUAUACGGAGGAUUGCAUUAGUGACAUAUAGGUGAGCCCAAUAGAAUGCAACGAAUAAAGAACCAAAUUGAGAAAGAAAGAGAAAGGGAAGGAAAGAGAGGAAGAGAGAGAAGAAAUAAGAGAAUAUAGUAUGAAAUUGGGGAGAGAGUAUAAUUUAUAUAUAAACAAAGUUUGAGUAUUACAAUGAAUAGAUUCUUUAUAUAGAGUCUAAUCAAACUUAAUUUGAGAAGGACAAUAAUCUUAUUCUAGUCAAAUUAGAAAAUUAAAAUAAACUAAUCUAAUCAUAACAAACAUAACUUAUGUCAAAUUCUAUUUUAAAAUUCUAUUUAAAUCUUAUAUUUAUUCUUUUCAUUUUCCAUCACUUCUUUCCAAAUGAGAAAACUCGACUCCUACGAAAUAUACUGCAAGACGAACUUUCUUAUUGAUCAAAUGAUCUAACCAAAGAACUUUUAAUGAAGUAACAAUAGGGAACUCCAAAAAAAUAACAACCCAUGCAACUCAUCCACAAAAAUUAUAAGAAAUCCAAAUGGUGUUUUCCAUACCUUUUUCAUCCCUCUGGGUUAGAGGGAAGUUCAAAACUUAGCUAUGCCCUUCUUAAUUCUAGAAACCCAAAAGCUUGUGAACACAUUCAACCAACCAGAAAGCAUGAGUAACUUGAUGCUAGUGCAUUGAUAGAUUGAUUCACAGAAACAGAUGAGUGCAAUCCUUAUAGCUCGAAUGUAGGAAAAAUUUUGCUGCACCGAAAACAAAAUAUUCAUUUAAAUAUGAUGGUCAAAUAGAUUAUUUUCAUCUAAGCUAUCUAAACAUUUUUUUUCCUUUCAAAAGCUGUGCAAAAGAAACACGUAAUAACGAGGCUUAAAAAUUAUUCAUCAAAAACAAGCAUUAUUUUCAUUAUUUAAAUAAAUUUUUCUUUUUAUCUUAACUUGAAAAAUCAGGAAAAGGUGCAAUAGAGAUCGGAGCUAAAAUAACAUGAUGGUAACUAGUAGGCAACAAUCAAAUGUCAAUAGGAAAAUUAUAUGAUCGAAUAGUGGCCUUGAGAUAAAAUGGCAAUCCGAAGAAUAUCGCGUAGCUGAGGUAACAUUAGAACAAAGUCGGUUGUAAAUUGGCACAUAGGAGUAGGCGAUAACAAUUCGGCACGAAGGUGAGGAUGUGUAGAAUGUCUGGUUUAGGUGGCAACGCUUAAGGCAAUUCCUCAAUGGUAUCAAAUUUAACUAUGUCAAAAACAUGUACGAGGGGAUACAAGACAAUUCUCAAAAACUUCAUUCUUACCAUUAGAAUAUUCAAUAGGCUCAUAAAUAAAAUCCUCAUUUUCUUGAUCAUGAUAAAGACUAACAUAAUCGGACAUUGGAAGUGAUCAGGACUGCAAUGGUAAGCCUAGUGUGCUUGGCAAAGAUGGAAGGAUAUAUCCCAUAGGUUGGCUUUCAGGUAAGCUUCAUCAAGGAUUGGGAUUCGAGAAUGUCGUCAUGCUUUUUUCAGAAUUUAAAUCGUUGAGAAACCCAAACUCUAGGACAUGGAUAUCUUUAUAAAUAUCACACCUAUGUAAUAGUUAUAAGAAUUAAACCAUUAAGAAACUUGAACUCUGAGACGUGGAGAUCUUUAUAAUUAUCAUAACUGUGUAAUAGUUAUUCAAAGUGGGCUAGAUACUAGCUAAUAAUAGAUGUACUUUGCCAAAGUGCAAAAAGAAUAGAACUAGGGGCUUGGAGUUGUUAUAUGAAUCGUAUGUGGUGUUGAUUAUUUGAAAUAGCUAUAAAUUAUCAUGUAGCACACUUAACAAAACUCUAAAACCGAAUCAAAUAAUUUUUGUUUUUAAUUAAACCGAACAAAAGAAAAUGAAAAAUUUGACCAAUUAACAACUAAAAGUAAAUUUUAUUUAUUUAAUUAAUUUUUAAAAAAAAAAAUCGAAAUUGCGAAACACUUGAAAAAAGUAAAGGUAUUAAGAUAGUAAAAAGUCUACAAGAGCAAUUGAUAUGGAGCCAACUGUAGGCAUAAUAAUUAUUCAAGCAUUCAAGAUUCCAUGCGAGAAUCGGAUUACAUCAGUGUGGCUCCUUGAUCGGAAUUAACAACAAAGUACCUAUCAAUAGUUUUUUUUCUUUUUGGAUUUUUUUUUUCUUGUAACUAACAAGAACAAACGUAAAUAACUAAGGAAUGAACAAUUCGGCCUUUUAUUUUUAUAUUUUUAAAAAAAUAAUAAUAAGACGUAACCAACUAUAGCUUUGUUGGGGAACAACUCCGACUUACGUGAUAAAUGAAAAAAAAAAUGUUUUUGUAACAAUAAGUCGCUGUUUGGGCUGCAUUCUGAAAAAAAUGCAUUUUUCUCUCAUCUUUUCAACCAUACAUUCCCAUAAAAUAAUAUUACACGUAAAUUCAAAACUUUUUCUUAUUUUUUAAUCACACAAUUUUUUUAAAAAAUUACUAUUCAAAAAUAAAUUUUUCUCCAAAAUGCAUUUUAGUUGGAGCCCAAACAUGGGCUAAGUAAAAGCUAAAACAAAGUGAGAAACAUCUUUUGUCAACUAAGUUGUUUUUUAUUUUUUAUUUUUUUUUCAAUUGCUGAUUUGGGGGAAUUUUUUAUGGUUUAAGGUGGCUAUGAUUGUAAGUGUAUAAGUUUUAAUUUUGAAAAAGAAAUUUUAGUCAAAGAAAAAUGAGUUGCUCUAAUAACAAAUUGAUGUAGAACAUAAUGAACAAAGAACAAGUUUAGAUAAAAAGAGAAGGAGAAGAGAAGAGAGAUGAAAGAGAAGAGAAUAUAGAAAAAAUUGGGGAAGAAAAGUAUUAAUUUAUUUAAUAAUUAAACUUGAAGUAUGAAAAUGAAUAGACAAGCUUUAUAUAAAGUCUAAGCAAACCUAAUUUGAGAAGGAAAUAACAAUCCAAUUAUAGUUAGACCAGAAAACUAUAAUAAAUUAAUCCGAUCAAAACAAACAUGAUUUGAAAUUAAAUUCUUCAUUAAAAUCCGAUAUUUAUUCUUAUCACCAUUGUCCCUCAGUAGGCAUAAGGCGGAUUCCCAAGCUUGGGUUCUAGUUGAUAUAGGGCUGAUUGUAUUAGUUCCAUGGCAUAGUAGAGAUAUGGUUGCUUAGGUCAAGAAUGUUCCAAUAGGACUUAACUUAUUUUUAUCCAUUUUUCUUUUCUUUUCUCUUAUUUUCUAGUUCAGAGAUAUGGGGAGAGAUUGGGAUAUUUACCACAAAGAAUUGAUGAAGUAUUGGAAAAUGUACUGUCAUUAUUGUAUGUUAGUACUUUCACUAUAAUUUGGAUUAGUUCGUUAUAUGCAACAGUUGUAUACAUACUGCAUUUGUCACUCCAACGGCAAAUUUUUUUAUUUGUGGAUGGAACUUUCAUGUUAAACUUUUGACCUUAGGAUAUAGCCUUCAGUGUACAUUAACAUUGCUAACUAUGAUUUAUAAAAUCAAUGGUUCACUGUCGCUGUUUUACUUGCACUUUUUAAAUUGGUGGUGAAGUGAAUAGUAAUAUUCCCGUGUUUGUGUUUUAGGUAGUUUUUGAAUUCUACGUAAUGAUUGCACUUUUUUAUAGUGUGAGGAAUUAUGGCUUGGGAAAGUACACAUACCUCGGAUAUCAAAAGUUCCAGGAAUAUCAAAAUUGGCUUCUUACUCUCUGUCCAUUAUGGAUGGCAAACGAGUGAGUAACUAGUAAUCUUCUCUCGCUUACAAACUACAUACUCAGGGUAUGUUGGUAUGCAGUAGUGGAUAGUACAAUGAACAAUAUUUUCCCUCUGUCUUUUUUAUUUAACACUGUCGGAUUACUAUCCAACAUGCUAUCAAAAUUAUGAAAGUGUACACCAUGUUUCAGUGACUUUGAUUGAUGAUCUUCAGAUCUCUGCCUAAUGCACCUCAAACUCCCAAUCUUUCUGAUUUCAGGCAAGAAUAACGUGCAAUGAUCUCUGUGAUCAUGUGUGGGAAUUUCAUUUCACUGAGGUAUAUACUUCAUUCUUAUUGGUGUAGCCAAUCCUUGCAUGUUUCUGAUGAAGCUCUAGAAAAUUUACUUUGAAAUUUUUAGGUUCAGCUAAACAUGCUCAUAGUCAUGUACGGUUGCUCUAAAAGAUGUGUUAGGUGCAGGCACUUUCCUCAGUUGCCAUCUCUAGAAAACCAUCAAGUCCCCUAAUUUUUGUUUCUCAUUUACCUUCGUUUAGCCGCUUUAGUUCUUUCCUAUUUUAUGUUCUAUUUCAAUUUUGCUUCCGCAAUUUGUUUUCAUGUUUCAACCUACACAAACUGUUAAAUUUUCUCAAAUGUCAGAAGUGUUGAAGACUGAAUCUCAUAUGCGUGACAACUCUUUCAUUAACCCAGUCUUUCGUUUCUGCAUUCCCAACUUCUUUGUUUGCUGCAAAUGCAGCCCAAGUUCAUAUUGUCUCUUAGAUUAGGCAACCAAGAUUAUUUGGAUAAUUAAAUUCGAACUAUCUCAAGAAACACUUAAAUUAGUGUUCCAUUUUUAAUUACCUUUACGGGAAACUCCCCUAAGAAAGUAUUUACUUGAUGUUCAUUCUUUUAUGCAGCUCCGAGCUGCCAUAGUUCUUCUAUAUUUAUAUUUCAGCUGAUUCUAUAGAAAUAUGGCUUUGCUAUUUGUUUUCAUAAAAUGUAAAGAUCCCAAGUUGUUUGAUUAGCUGUCAUAUACUUCCACAGUCCUUGAAAGUAAAACUCCCAACUCGAGCCAGAGCUUACAAAUUUAUCAUGUGCCAUGUCUUUUUAGUUUUUAUUUUUCUUCUCUUUGGGUACAUAUCUUUUAGGUUCUCCCUUACCCCGUCUUCGCAGGUAGUAGAUACAGCAGCUAAAACUUUACUGUUCCAGUUUCUACCAAAUUAUUCAUACAAUUCCAAAUUAUGAAGAAAAAGUUCCAUUAGUAUUUUCAUUUAUUAUUUACCUUUCUUUUGACAUUUAAUCCUUUUCUGAUGGGCUAUGUAGUUAGUUGCUCAAGAAGCUAUUACUUCAUGGACUAAUUAAUGCUGCUGUAUAAACUUUUUUCGAACCUAGAUUAUAUUUCAAUUUGUCAGGAUGAAUGACCACAAAUUUAUUAAGGAUAAGACUUUAGUUAUCGUUCUAUAUUAUGCUCAUUGUCCUCAAGACAAUGUAGACAAAAUCAAAGCAUGGGCCCCAAAAAAUGAUUAAUUUGAUGAUCUUACCCGGAUAUUCUGAUGAUCUCCUCUUUCUGUAGGAUGCUCCUGAAUAUUGGCGAAAUCUUGAUCCUUACUGGACAGGCACAGGAAGUACAUUGCGCCGGUAUUUCCAUCCAGAUGGAAGCAUAUCUGCAGAUCCUGGUGAUCUGGUAUGGGGCGGCCACGAGUCAUGCUACACUACAGUUACCGGAUUGCUGGAAGAUGGAGAAAUACGAGAACAUUAUGUGAGAAUCAAUCGUUGGCCUCAAUUACAUGUUUUGAGGAAGCCCGAUUGGGGUUGGGAAUUAUCAAACCAUCUCUACUGCUACACUAGUGUCCCUGAUGCCGAAAAGGAAGAUGGAACGGGUCCUCUGUUUCCAGUUUUUUAGUCUAGUUUUGAGGGUGUUUUAUGUUUGAUUAAUGUUAUAGACUCUGUUCUGGCAAGGAGAUUUUGUUUUAUGUAUGUAUGCAUGUAUAUAUUGGUAAACAUGUCGUGUUUAUUUCAAUGAAAAAAUUUCAUAUGAAUCUAAAUGGGCAUGGCUGUCUUGGGAAAAAAACACGGGGGAUUUGUGUAUCUAUAUUGGAUUAAACUACUUGUACAUGACACCCCCUAUGUGUAAAAAAUUUGGCAGUUGAUUGGAAAAAGUGUCGUGAAGAUAAACGUACUCACAUGGAUGUAAAUCACCGUGUCAAUCUUUAUGUACUUAUAGCAUUGUCCAUUUAUAUUUUCUAUUAACAUUACAACUUUAAAAAACAAAUAUGCUAUAGUGCUAGGAAGGUUGACACAAUGUCACGUGAUAUAUUAUAUUAUUGAACAUUUUAUAAUAAAAUCAACUUUUCCAUCCAAUCAUCUACCAUCAUUUAUCUUUGCAUUUGUCAAUAUCUUUCAAACAAAGUGGCAUGAUCUUUUUAAAAACAUUUAAAUAUAAGAAGAUAGAAAGACUUGGCCUAUGAGAGUAACAAAAAAAAUUAUUGUGGUCUUUCCUCUUUGAAAUGAAGAAAGAGUAAUUCUAUUUCACUUCCCUGAAAUUACAACGUCAAGUUUUAAUUUGAUAUUAAUUGAUUGAUAGAAUUAAAAAACUCGUUUAAUUUCAAAUUUCAUUUGACAUAUUAUGAGAGUGUUUGAUGGGUAUUUUUAUGAAAAAAUGCAUUUUAAAAUAAUAAAUUGAUAUGAAAUGUGUAGUUGAGAAAUGAGGAAAUUUUUUUUUUAUAUGUAAUAUUAUUUUAAUAAAGAAUGUGUAAUUAAAAAAAAGUGAAAAAAAUACAUUUUAAAAAAAAUAGCUACCAAAGGGCACCUAUAUAGUGCCAUUUAGACUAGGAUGCAAUCCCUAGGGAACACUUUACCUUCUUCCGGACUCCCAACGCCCCACCCUAACCCAACAAAACACACCCACCACUGAAAAUCGCCGCCCCUAUUCACCCACCUGCCAUCCGGAAAUGGCUCGUUAUCACUGUACACGAAUCCACCUACUCCCCCAUCCUCCUUUCUCUCCCUCAAUCACUCAGCCCUCAGGCAGUUUAUCUAUAAAACUCACCGGGUCACCUCCGAGUUUUCUUGAAUAUUUGACUCAGCUCUUCCAAUGGAGGUCGAAACUCGCGCUCCUGCAGCCUUUGAUACUUCUCAUUUUUCUUCUACUCCCAUAAACCACUCGGAGAUUUGCGACGUUGAGCUUCAAUGCCGUAGAUGCCCGGCUACUCGAAUGAAGCUCUGGAACAGCACGAAGUUGAAUCACCAGCCUCCAAUCUUAAUAAUUAUUGGAAUGAAUACGCAAAAUUGAAAGUCAAUAAUUAUUGGAAUAAAUAAGUUUUCAUAUAAUAUUAAGGAGAAACAGAUUGAAUGAUUGGUCGAAAAUGAAAAGAACUCUUUCUUUUAUCAGGCCCAUUGUGAUGCUAGAAAGAGGGUUUGAAUUUUGGUAUUUUUCUUACAUUUCAAAUUGU